Molecule: transfer RNA, 101 nt
Filed under: Ascodesmis nigricans
Lineage: Eukaryota; Fungi; Ascomycota; Pezizomycetes; Pezizales; Ascodesmidaceae
Rfam family: tRNA
About the family: Transfer RNA (tRNA) molecules are approximately 80 nucleotides in length. Their secondary structure includes four short double-helical elements and three loops (D, anti-codon, and T loops).
Source: Rfam by way of RNAcentral
UCCGAUAUGGUGUAGUGGCUAGCAUUUGUCGCUUUCAACAGCUCUUCCAAAGAGCAUGAAAGCGGACCGACAAGACCCGGGUUCAAUUCCCGGUAUCGGAA